AAGUCGUAACAAGGUUUCCGUAGGUGAACCUGCGGAAGGAUCAUUAUUGAAUGAACUUGGUAUGAUUGUUGCUGGUUCUUAUAGGACAUGUGCACGUCUGCCAUCUUUAUAUCUCCACCUGUGCACACAUUGUAGGUCUGGAAUAACUCUCUGAGGAAACUCAGUUGUUAGGAUUGCUUCUGCAAAGGAGCUUUUCUUGUGUUUCCAGAUCUAUGUUUUCAUAUACACCAUAAGAAUGUAACAGAAUGUAUUAAUGGGUCUUGUACCUAUAAACUAUAUACAACUUUCAGCAACGGAUCUCUUGGCUCUC
This 310-nucleotide unclassified non-coding RNA is filed under the name air metagenome. RNAcentral describes it as "partial contains small subunit ribosomal RNA, internal transcribed spacer 1, and 5.8S ribosomal RNA". The stretch from base 1 to 46 matches the Rfam family "Eukaryotic small subunit ribosomal RNA", at positions 1786 to 1831 of the family's 1831-position model. The record is from RNAcentral.